CCUACGGGGUGCAGCAGUAGGGAAUCUUCCACAAUGGGCGAAAGCCUGAUGGAGCAACGCCGCGUGGGUGAAGAAGGUCUUCGGAUCGUAAAACCCUGUUGUUAGAGAAGAAAGUGCGUGAGAGUAACUGUUCACGCUUCGACGGUAUCUAACCAGAAAGCCACGGCUAACUACGUGCCAGCAGCCGCGGUAAUACGUAGGUGGCAAGCGUUAUCCGGAUUUAUUGGGCGUAAAGGGCACGCAGGCGGUCUUUUAAGUCUGAUGUGAAAGCCUUCGGCUUAACCGGGGUAGUGCAUUGGAAACUGAGAGACUUGAGUGCAGAAGAGGAGAGUGGAACUCCAUGUGUAGCGGUGAAAUGCGUAGAUAUAUGGAAGAACACCAGUGGCGAAAGCGACUCUCUGGACAGUAACUGACGCUGAGGUUCGAAAGCGUGGGUAGCAAACAGGAUUAGAUACCCCUGUAGUC
Molecule: ribosomal RNA, 465 nt
Filed under: uncultured bacterium
Lineage: Bacteria
Description: partial 16S ribosomal RNA
Rfam family: Bacterial small subunit ribosomal RNA
Source: RNAcentral